UUACCCAUUUUCAAUCCCCAGCCCAAUAUGUUAACCCUUUCCAGGUCCGCCACAUCCCCAAACGACCCCGUUUUUGCACUGACUCAUCACAGCCGUUGGAUUUUGAUAAUUUAACGGCUCAGAACUAAUCAUCUAUUUAAUACAUAAAUGUUCGAACCCACCCCAACCCCCAAAGAACUCCACCAGUUGUUCAUCGCUCCCAAAGAGAAACCCUAAUCUAAGCCGCCCCAAAAUCCUCUCAACUCAACGGCCGACGGUGUGGCUCCCAUCGACCCCAAGUUCACACCAUACAAUCACCACCCGCCCGUCUUUCACAAUCUAUCAUGAGUUCCCCCAAAAUCCUCACCCAUUUGCCCCAAUUUUAAACUUGACUCCAAAAAAUUUGAAAAUCUUAGUUUGUCCAAUUUUUAGAGUUUUAAGCGAUUUUUGGCUGAUAAUGAAUUGAAACUCAUGUCAAUCGAUUGUUCUCCUUAAGAAUAUACGAUUAGCAUCAAUUUCAUUUAUUUCGAAGUCCACCAGACUCCAUGCAAUACCAAAGACUGGCAAAUCUUCAUCAAACGAUAUCGUUCGUCGAGUCGCUCAAAUAUUUCCGACCAAAUAUGGUACAUACCUCUCCCUUUUGCUUGCAUGUCCCUUUCUAGUUUUCUUGUAUUAGUGGGAUUGUUGGUUGACCUAAUUCUGCUUUAGAAAAAAUACAUAUUAAUAAUUUGUUUUGGAUAAUUGCAUUAGAGUUAAUAUGGUUUUCUUAUUCUCUGUUUUGUUUGUUUGUUUUUAUUUAUUUAUGUCAGUCUCAUCCAGUUUAAUCCAUAUGUUUCAAGUUAAUGUUCAAAAUUAUUAAAGCAUUUUCUGGUUUGGUUGAUUCAUUUAUGGAUCAAAUUAUUUCUAUCUUUGGCUUGUUCUUUUCUUAUUCUUCCUUUUCUUUAAAUUAUAUCAUAGGCUGGCCGGGGUAAAUUUGAUUUUGAUGCUCAUUUUGGUUGAUUAGGCUUCUGCCUUAGCUGUGUGGUCAUCUUUGACCCGGUUAAAGAGGCUCAUUCAUAUGGGUUGGUGUCGUGGGUCAAUUUGACCAUACAUGAUUCAUUUUGGGGAGUAAAUACAUGGCUGUCAGGGCGUACUUUGGAUAAUUUAGGUCUAGGGUAUAUUGUUGUUAUAACCAAAGAAGUUUCUAGAGGAUAAGGGAGAGACUUGCAUGCUAUGAAAGAAAGGGGUUUCAAAUAUUUGUUUUAAAGGACUUGGGGGUUAAAAUAAAAGAGGGGGAGGGCUUAAGGGUGAAAAAAGAAUAAAGUUCUGCUACCCUAAGCUCCUUCAAUAAGAAUCUCAUUUUCCUAAUAUUCUAGUGCAGAGACUAGACAAUAAAAAUAGAAAACGACCAAAAGAUUUCUUCUAAAUAAAAAUCUAUUUAUGAGCUUUCAUCUUUCUCUGGGAAAACGUUUUUGCAAGUAAUUCUCCCUAGGUUUGCUGGUUUUUGAAGCUGAGCCAUGACUUGAUUAAGAAGCUGAUUCUGUGGAUUUUAUUAUUUUUUCCUUUGCUGUUGAACCUGUUGUUUGCUAACUGCCAGUAGCUGAUUUCUGAAUUUAUUAUCUUUUAUUUGCAAAAUGAAUCUGAAGAUAUAUGUGUGUUGAGGCUGAGGCAUUAAUCAAUGUUUAAUGUAUAAUCUUUCAUGUAAUGUUGAAUCUUCAAGCUAUUACGUUGUGGUUUCAGUUAUUAGAUAUUGAAUUUAGCUUUAUGCAAGUUUGGAUUAUCAGUUUUGGUGGUAAAUAGUUAGAUGUUUUAGUUGAAAUGUUUUAGAAUCUAUACCUAAACAAUCAUCAAAACCCAUUACCUUUGUUGAAAAUCGAGUAAUUAUGUUGGACGAGUUUGUUUUAGUCAAUUUGUAUAUUCUUUUAAUAAGUUUGGGUCCAGAUGGACUAAGCCCAAAUUCAUGAAAAGUGGAAGCUGAAUCUCCAUGUUUUUUUUUUUAAUUUGCAGAUGAAAAUUUGGAAUGUGAUUUGCAAAGUUCUUUUUGUGUCGUCAAAAUCCCAGACGCAUAUUAAUACUUUUUGAUGAUCUGGUUGGGUCAAAGAUUGUAAAAGGGCCCAAUAAGGGAGUAACACAGGCUUUACAGGCUAUUUGGGCCUUUGGAUCCCAUCCGUUAAUGGCCAUUUGACUCACAAGUCUUUGGCCCAUUUCUAUAUUUGUCAAGCCACUUUGAUUCCUAUCAGCUAAUUCAUUAGCUCGUUAAGAUGAUCCUACUAUCACAUCCAUUUCGUACUAUGAUUUCUUUAAGACAUUACUAUUUUGUUUGCCGAAAUCCAAGAAACAUCGCUUUUAAAAAUUUGAGAAAAGGUUAUUUUUCCCAAGUAAAUUCAUAAUCCAUAGGCUUCUGCGUUGCAUAUUGAAUCCUUGUUUCAAC
RNAcentral lists this long non-coding RNA (2389 nucleotides) under Nicotiana benthamiana. Its description in RNAcentral is "long non-coding RNA (NBEN_LNC020832)". Lineage: Eukaryota; Viridiplantae; Streptophyta; Magnoliopsida; Solanales; Solanaceae. The record is from RNAcentral.